GAUGAAGAACGUAGCGAAAUGCGAUAAGUAAUGUGAAUUGCACAAUUCAGUGAAUCAUCGAAUCUUUGAACGCACCUUGCACCCUUUGGUAUUCCGAAGGGUAUGCUCGUUUGAGUGUCAUUGUACUCUCACACUUCUAAUUCCUUUCGGGAUUGGGAGCGGUGGACUUGGGUGUUGCUGCUUUAGUUGUGGCUCACCUCAAAUAAGUUAGUGCAACUCUUGGUUGGACAUAGUACGGCGUGAUAAGUGUCUUCGCCGGCGCCUCUGUAAGGAGGGUGGCCGAUCGGGAGCUCUGUGCUUCAAACCGUCUUCGGACAAUCUUUGACAACUUGACCUCAAAUCGAGUAGGACUACCCGCUGAACUUAAGCAUAUCAAUAAGCGGAGGA
This 387-nucleotide unclassified non-coding RNA is filed under the name soil metagenome. RNAcentral describes it as "partial contains 5.8S ribosomal RNA, internal transcribed spacer 2, and large subunit ribosomal RNA". The stretch from base 1 to 120 matches the Rfam family "5.8S ribosomal RNA", at positions 35 to 154 of the family's 154-position model. The record is from RNAcentral.